Bubalus bubalis (water buffalo) is the source of this 629-nucleotide long non-coding RNA. RefSeq lists it as uncharacterized. Lineage: Eukaryota; Metazoa; Chordata; Mammalia; Artiodactyla; Bovidae. The transcript is spliced from 2 exons. The record is from RefSeq and is a predicted model, not a curated record.
AAGCUCCUUGGGGUAAGGACUUUGUCAUUAAUUUAGCACAGCUGAAUAUAUUACAUGGUGCCAUGUGUAUUUAUAGAAGUUUGCUAAGUAAUGAUGAUUCAGAUUUGGUAAUCAGCACUUGCGAUGAUCAUACGGUUAUGCAGAUCAACACUUACUAUGCAGAAAUCAUUUCCUAUCGGGGCAGAUGUGCUGGUCUCUCCCUUAGUAAAUUUUGAGAUCAGUAAAUUUCUUGCAGCAUGUAAGUCAAUUUAGAUUUAUGCCUUUGAUUGUCUUCCUGUUGCCUAAGGGAACCAAGAGAGCAGUACCUUUCCACGAGGCUAAGCUGCCUGAAAGUGAUCAGCAAACAACAACUUGUCAAGUCUAUAAACUUAGAUUCAACGCUCACAUCAGAAUGCCAUGUUAUGGAAAGAGGAUUUUCUUCACUGUUGAAGAACUCACCCCCUUUCACUCUUGACCUCUCCAUUCCUGCUGCAUACCUUCUUCCUUCCUGUCUCUUCCUAUACCUUCCCUUCUACCCUCUUCAGUUUCUCAACAUUAUCACUCAAUCUUUCUCCUUUUGCUUUCUUCGUUCAAUGCAUACAAAUCAUAACUCUAUUCAAAAAUGUCUUCUUAGAUGCCCUUCUCUCACA